AACGAACGCUGGCGGCAUGCCUAACACAUGCAAGUCGAACGAGACCUUCGGGUCUAGUGGCGCACGGGUGCGUAACGCGUGGGAACCUGCCCUUAGGUUCGGAAUAACUCCCCGAAAGGGGUGCUAAUACCGGAUAAUGUCUUCGGACCAAAGAUUUAUCGCCUUUGGAUGGGCCCGCGUUGGAUUAGCUAGUUGGUAGGGUAAAAGCCUACCAAGGCGACGAUCCAUAGCUGGUCUGAGAGGAUGAUCAGCCACACUGGGACUGAGACACGGCCCAGACUCCUAAGGGAGGGCGGAGUGGGGAAUAUUGGAAAAUGGGCGAAAGGCUGAAUCAGCCAUGGCGGGGUAGGGAUGAAGGGCUUUGGGUUUGAAAGCCCCUUUUACCGGGAAGAUAAUGACAGUACCGGGAGAAUAAGCGCCGGCUAACUCCGUG
This 433-nucleotide ribosomal RNA is filed under the name uncultured bacterium. RNAcentral's name for it is "partial 16S ribosomal RNA". It matches the Rfam family "Bacterial small subunit ribosomal RNA", at positions 29 to 507 of the family's 1533-position model. The record is from RNAcentral.